Molecule: long non-coding RNA, 298 nt
Filed under: Capsicum annuum
Lineage: Eukaryota; Viridiplantae; Streptophyta; Magnoliopsida; Solanales; Solanaceae
Description: long non-coding RNA (CANN_LNC001792)
Source: RNAcentral
UAUACACCACUGGCCAACAACUCUAAACAAGAACCAUACAAAACAUUUAUCAAUCAAGAAAGUGAAAGAAAAAACGGAAAAAUAUACCAAUACAGGUAAAGAUAAGGUAGUUACUGGUUGUUGGGCGUUUUGAAACUUGUUCUUGAUGCUGAUUUCUUGGAAUUUUCCAAAGGCAGGGACAGUGAUUUGAUAGAAGCAGAGGAUAAGAGUGCAUUAGAAGGUGAAAAAAGGGUGUGAAAAACAGGGAGAUUUGUGCUGCUGGAGAUUGAUGUCUCCAAACUAAGAAGAUGGGUCAUCU